AGUCAUAUGCUUGUCUCAAAGAUUAAGCCAUGCAUGUCUCAGUACAAGCCAAAUUAAGGUGAAACCGCGAAAGGCUCAUUAAAUCAGUUAUGGUUCCUUAGAUCGUACCCACACUUACUUGGAUAACUGUGGUAAUUCUAGAGCUAAUACAUGCAAAUAGAGCCCCGACCGGAGACGGAAGGGGCGCUUUUAUUAGAUCAAAACCAAUCGGUGGCGGUUCGCCGUCACCGUACUCCUUGGUGAUUCUGAAUAACUUGUUGCUGAUCGCACGGUCUCGAACCGGCGACGCAUCUUUCAAAUGUCUGCCUUAUCAACUGUCGAUGGUAGGUUCUGCGCCUACCAUGGUUGUAACGGGUAACGGGGAAUCAGGGUUCGAUUCCGGAGAGGGAGCCUGAGAAACGGCUACCACAUCCAAGGAAGGCAGCAGGCGCGCAAAUUACCCACUCCCGGCACGGGGAGGUAGUGACGAAAAAUAACGAUACGGGACUCAUCCGAGGCCCCGUAAUCGGAAUGAGUACACUCUAAACCCUUUAACGAGGAUCAAUUGGAGGGCCAGUCUGGUGCCAGCAGCCGCGGUAAU
RNAcentral lists this ribosomal RNA (580 nucleotides) under Limnebius minoricensis. RNAcentral describes it as "SSU rRNA". It matches the Rfam family "Eukaryotic small subunit ribosomal RNA", at positions 22 to 583 of the family's 1831-position model. The record is from RNAcentral. Lineage: Eukaryota; Metazoa; Arthropoda; Insecta; Coleoptera; Hydraenidae.